Molecule: long non-coding RNA, 239 nt
Filed under: Nicotiana benthamiana
Lineage: Eukaryota; Viridiplantae; Streptophyta; Magnoliopsida; Solanales; Solanaceae
Description: long non-coding RNA (NBEN_LNC034619)
Source: RNAcentral
GGUAUUGGAAAAAAAAGAAAUAUUCUUUCCGGCACGAGAAGGCUCAGAACUUCUAUUUGCCAUUGAAGAUUGUAGGCAAGUAGGACUAUUGGAAGAGUCUAAUUUGAAGACUUUUGAAAGAGAAUUCUUGAACAAGAAUGAUUAUGCCUAUUUUGAACUGACAAGAUGACAAUUGAUUACUGUCAAGUUCAGAAUUCAGAACGGUAACAAAUUUUUGAAUUUUUACCAUUGGACAAUCG